UACGAAGGGGGCUAGCGUUGUUCGGAAUCACUGGGCGUAAAGGGUGCGUAGGCGGGUCUUUAAGUCAGGGGUGAAAUCCUGGAGCUCAACUCCAGAACUGCCUUUGAUACUGAAGAUCUUGAGUCCGGGAGGGGUGAGUGGAACUGCGAGUGUAGAGGUGAAAUUCGUAGAUAUUCGCAAGAACACCAGUGGCGAAGGCGGCUCACUGGCCCGGUACUGACGCUGAGGCACGAAAGCGUGGGGAGCAAACAGG
This 253-nucleotide ribosomal RNA is filed under the name uncultured bacterium. RNAcentral describes it as "partial 16S ribosomal RNA". It matches the Rfam family "Bacterial small subunit ribosomal RNA", at positions 524 to 776 of the family's 1533-position model. The record is from RNAcentral.